GACGAACGCUGGCGGCGUGCUUAACACAUGCAAGUCGAACGGAAAGGCCCUGCUUUUGUGGGGUGCUCGAGUGGCGAACGGGUGAGUAACACGUGAGUAACCUGCCCUUGACUUUGGGAUAACUUCAGGAAACUGGGGCUAAUACCGGAUAGGAGCUCCUGCUGCAUGGUGGGGGUUGGAAAGUUUCGGCGGUGGGGGAUGGACUCGCGGCUUAUCAGCUUGUUGGUGGGGUAGUGGCUUACCAAGGCUUUGACGGGUAGCCGACCUGAGAGGGUGACCGGCCACACUGGAACUGAGAGACGUGCAAGAGUACUACGGGAAGCAGCGGUAGGGAAUCCUCCGCAAUGGGCGGAAGCCUGACGCAGCAACGUCGGGUGAGUGAUGAAGGUCUUGUGAGCGUAAAACCCUGUUAUGAGGGAAGAACAAAUGUCGAAGUAACUAUGCAAGUCUGGACGGGAACUAAUCAGAAAGCCAAGGCGAACUACGUG
Molecule: ribosomal RNA, 488 nt
Filed under: uncultured bacterium
Lineage: Bacteria
Description: partial 16S ribosomal RNA
Rfam family: Bacterial small subunit ribosomal RNA
Source: RNAcentral